CUCAGAUCAGGUAGGGAUACCCGCUGAACUUAAGCAUAUCAAUAAGCGGAGGAA
Molecule: ribosomal RNA, 54 nt
Filed under: Terriera minor
Lineage: Eukaryota; Fungi; Ascomycota; Leotiomycetes; Rhytismatales; Rhytismataceae
Description: partial 28S ribosomal RNA
Source: RNAcentral